Schizosaccharomyces pombe (fission yeast) is the source of this 264-nucleotide non-coding RNA. The record is from the annotation of a GenBank genome assembly. NCBI's taxonomy places the organism in Eukaryota, Fungi, Ascomycota, Schizosaccharomycetes, Schizosaccharomycetales, Schizosaccharomycetaceae.
GACUCACGGAUUUGCAACAUGUCCUUCUCCUCUUUUUUUUUUUUUUUUCUUUUUUUUUCUAAUCUGUAAAAAAACCAAAAUUUUACAAUCUCGAUAAUCCUUUUAAUGUCUAUAGUCAUCAAACACGUUUAUCUACUUACUCAAUACGAUAAUGUACAAUAAUUCCAUACGAAACUUGCCCUUAUCUGUUUUAGUUUUUUGUGGCACACCGUUAACUAAUCGUGAAUAAAAUGGUUAUUACAGUCAUAGUCCGGUUUAAUCGGA